UCUAACACAAACAAGGGCUCGCCAACCAGG
Molecule: non-coding RNA, 30 nt
Filed under: Homo sapiens (human)
Lineage: Eukaryota; Metazoa; Chordata; Mammalia; Primates; Hominidae
Source: RNAcentral